UACGUAGGUGGCAAGCGUUGUCCGGAUUUACUGGGUGUAAAGGGCGCGUAGGCGGGUAUGCAAGUCAGAUGUGAAAUACCGGGGCUUAACCCCGGAGCUGCAUUUGAAACUGUGUAUCUUGAGUAUCGGAGAGGCAGGCGGAAUUCCUAGUGUAGCGGUGAAAUGCGUAGAUAUUAGGAGGAACACCAGUGGCGAAGGCGGCCUGCUGGACGACAACUGACGCUGAGGCGCGAAAGCGUGGGGAGCAAAC
This 250-nucleotide ribosomal RNA is filed under the name uncultured prokaryote. Its description in RNAcentral is "partial 16S ribosomal RNA". It matches the Rfam family "Bacterial small subunit ribosomal RNA", at positions 524 to 773 of the family's 1533-position model. The record is from RNAcentral.